RNA transcript from Amphiprion ocellaris (clown anemonefish), 6431 nucleotides. It is a transcript of the gene named neuropilin (NRP) and tolloid (TLL)-like 1, like, with no coding region annotated. NCBI's taxonomy places the organism in Eukaryota, Metazoa, Chordata, Actinopteri, Pomacentridae. The record is from RefSeq and is a predicted model, not a curated record. The transcript has 16 exons.
UUGGGCGCAGGUAACAAGAGCUGGAGAAAAUUUGGAUUUCGGGGCUUGAAUUGCGAGUCUGUGUUGCUUACAUGAGAUAAUAUAGACAAGAACAGUAGGGACAUCUGGAAGAAACGUGGAAGAAACGUGGUGAACGGAGGUUGGCUGAGCUGGAGCAGGGUUCAGGUGUUUUAUAUCUUGGCUGCUUCUGGAGAUGGUGACCAUGAUCAGAGGCAGAAGGAUCAGAUUGCAGUGGCUGCAGGCUUAGCAGGGCAGGACUUGCACUGCAUUCGCACCACUACACCUAUCUCAGUGAACGGUGGGCCCACUGGGUGGAGACUCCGUGUCCCUUCUUCAGGCUGUGCCCAGCUGAGCACCAUGGAUAAAGUCUUGAACACCAGAUGCUCCUCGUGGACCUGGCUCCAGAGAGGGCCCCCAGUCUCCAUGUCCCAGGGUGACGGACCCAUAGACUGCAGUGAUGUGUGUGACACCUUAACUCCUGGAAAUUAUGUAUAUACUUUUUGGAAGACAUUAACUGCCGCCCUUUGCCCCAGAAAACUGAAUUUGACACACAUCGAUGGCUUGACUACACAUGUGAAUGAGGACUUUUUCACAUCACGCAGCUUCUACCCCAGCAGCGCCUGUAAGGAAGAUGAGAAAAGCUCUUGUUGGACAGUCAGGUAAUCUUAUCACCCCCCGUGUUUUCCAGGAGAUUUUUACGCAGCGCAAAAAGAGUAAAGAAAACGCCGCAGAGAUGAGUGUUGCGUGGUUUUACGUGCCCCUGAAGGAUCCUCUCUCCUGAUAAAGGGACCAAAGAGGACAAAAACAAGCCUGCCCAUGAUAUUUUCCAAAAGAAGAUCGCAAAGGUGGAGCGAUUAGAGAAGGGCUGAUGAAGGGACUAUUAAUCCUUUCAGUGCACCAAAAGCACCAAAGGGUAUUAGAAACGUUUGGAUGGAAAUCGGGCGAGUGUUUGGAAUUGUUUUUGGUUUUAUAUGAAACUGGUGAUUAGUAGUUGUUGUGACACACCUAAAGGAUUGUUUUUUCCCCACUUAAGAUUCUAAUAAGGAGUAAAAAAAAAAAAAAAAAAAAACGUCUUUCACCGAAGGCUUGUGUGAUAUGAGCGGUUUCUCGGUGUGAAUUUUCAGAAACUCUCUAUCUAUAUAUUUUUUUCUUUUCAAGUAUUCCUAAAUCUAAAUGGAAUUAGUUGAGUCUGAAGCCGUUUGUGAAAGGAACAGACAUGGUACAUGGGCACAGCUUCCAUCACGUUGUUGCAAGUCUACUCAUACUUGGGUUGUGUGGGGCAACAAAGAAGGAUCCAGCAGUGAAAAACAAUUCGGGAGUGAAGCCUGCAGGUCAAUGUGGAACGUGGGUGAAAGAACCAGAAGGAGGGCUCUUCACUUCUCCCAAUUACCCAAACAAAUACCCCCCAGGCACAGAGUGUGUUUACAUCCUUGAAGCUCCCCCGAGGCAGUGUAUCGAUCUGCAUUUUGAGGAGAAUUACUCGAUCGAGUCCUCUUGGGAAUGUAAAUUUGACAACAUCGAGGUUCGGGAUGGACCGUUUGGCUUCUCCCCAAUGCUCGGACGCUACUGCGGUCAACACAGCCCGCCUGACAUCAGGAGUAGCGGCCGAUAUCUGUGGAUAAAAUUUGUUACAGAUGGUGAACUGGAAGCAGUGGGAUUUUCAGCAACUUACAACUUCACUCCAGAUCCAGACUUUGCAGACUUGGGAGUACCCCCACCUCUCCCCUCCUGUCAGUAUGACAUGGUUGGUCCAGAAGGUAUCGUUGAGUCUCAUCAGAUCACCAGAGACGGGAAGGCGGGUGCCGCUGAGGCCGUCGACUGUAAAUGGUACAUCCGUGCUCCGCCGCGCUCCAAGAUCUACCUGCGUUUCCUCGACUACGAGAUGGCAAAUUCCAACGAAUGCAAGCGCAACUUUGUGGCGGUGUAUGAUGGUGGCAGUUCGGUGGAAGACUUGAAGAGCAAGUUCUGCUCCACGGUGGCCAACGAUAUCAUGCUGGUGUCGACGCUGGGAGUCAUCCGGAUGUGGGCGGACGAGGCCAGCCGCAAAAGUCGCUUCCGCAUCCUUUUCACAACCUACCAAGAACCUCCAUGUGAUGCAGAUGCCUUCUUCUGUCACAGUAACAUGUGCAUAAACAACACGCUGGUGUGUAACGGCAUGCAGAACUGUGUCUACCCCUGGGAUGAAAACCAGUGUAAAGAGAAGAGGAAAGCCAACAUCCUGGACAACCUGAACAACACAAACGGGACCAUAAUUGGCGUGACCUGCUGCAUCGUCCUCAUCCUCCUCAUCGUCUCCGUCAUCGUCCAGAUCAAGCAGCCGCGCAAAAAGUACAUUUUGCGGCGUGAGGACUUUGACCCCACCAUGUUCCAGGAGGUCUUUGAGCCCCCUCACUAUGAGCUGUGUACUUUACGGAGUGCCACCACACCCACAGCGGCCUCAGCAGACCUAGUCGACCUGGCGGAAGACUUUGAGAACUACCACGCCCUCCGCCGUGCCUCCUCACGCUGCGUCCACGACCACCACUGUGGCUCCUCAUCCAACCCCGGCUCCGCGCACAUAUCCCAGCUGUCGCUCAGUGGACGGGGUAGCCGUGGCAACCUGAGCGCCCGUGACGCGGCGGCCGCCACUCUGCUCACAGAUCUCCCACAGCCCAUGGCGGUGCGGCCCUUGCUGCCGGCCACGGGAAACCGCAGGAGCAUCUUGGUCAUGAAGCACAGCUACUCACAGGAGGCAGCGGACAAUGAAUGUGACCUGGACGACGACCUGGAAGAAGUUCCCACCACCAGCCACCGGCUUUCACGCCACGAAAAGGCAGUACAGCGGUUCUGCCUCAUUGGCUCUUUGAGCAAACAUGAAUCAGAGUACAACACAACUAGGGUCUAAGAGACAAUCUCAAGGUAAGCACCCUUAUCCAACAAUCAACAUCUUUAUAUGUUGUUGUGUAGUCAUCAUUUGCCCAGUCAGUAUAUACUUUUAUGUAAGUUCUUUUUAUUUUUUUCCUUUUCUGUGAUUUUUGCACAGGUUUAUAUUUUAUUUUUUUAUGUUGUUAUGUUGUGUUUUUUUUUUUUUUUUUAAUCGUUCAUUUUCACCAAGAUGGUUUUCUUGCUUGCAGCCAUCUUGCCCUCUUAGUGAGUUUGUUUGAAGUCUUUGUGAUGCUCAAGUUUACUGUAUGUCCUCUUCCCUUGAAGACAUACAUUGUGUCACUCAGUGGAUAUUCAUUAGCAUGGACCUUUCCAAUCAUCUUUAGUUGAAGCUGUUAUCAGUUAAUAUGUCUAACCCCUUCACGUUUCUCCUAGUAGGCCUAGAGCAAAUCAUUUGUGUCAUUAAUGUUAAGAAACUUGUCAAGUUCACAUAAAAGCACAAGUAAAAGCAGAUGUAAUCCCAAAUGUUUUCAUUAAACUACAUCAAUGGAUUUUCUUUUGCACACACUAAAAAAGCACAUUGAGAUCAUUUAAAUCCUUAAUCUUUACUCAGCACACACUUAUACAGAAGUCCUCUGUAGACUUGCAUGAUUUGUGUCAGUUGUUGUAUUUGAUUUUAUGUUUGGUUAAUUAUGAAGCAUAGUACUUAUGCCUGUGUGUAACAUUUCAUGUGUAUAUGCUCCAUGACUGUGCUUUCAUGAAGUUGCAAAAAGCACAUUAGAAAAUAAUCAAUGAAAUGCAUACAUUUUGGAUGUAUGCAAUUGCUGGCAUUUAAUUUGUUUGGUAAUUAAGAGUUAAAUUUAAUACAAAAAGCAAUGCAGAGCUACACAAGGCCAUGCUUGCAGCUUCAUGCCUGCAUAUAAUGGAGAAGUCACAUAAAGUGCUACCCAUUGUUUUGUCUUUUACUGUGAAAAAUGUGCCGUCUUGAUAUGUGUGUGUGUCUGCUUAUGUUCUACAUUAUGUUGCAUUGUCUCCAUCAUGUAGACUUCUUGAGAAUAGUGCAAUCCUGGAUCAGUACGAACGGGCCUCACUGACAUAUGAAAAAGCGGAGCGGAGAUUUACACCAGCAUGAUGCUGAUGAUGAAGGGACGCUUUGACGAAAGGAUACUGAAUGUGUAUUCAUGUACAAAGAUGAACACAAAGGACUAGAUGAAAACACUCCAGCUGCAAUGCUGUGAAGCGGGAAGGUUUGGGAAAUCAGUCAGCUCUGUGCUCUACUCACUGUAGUCAAUCCAGAUGUUUUGUCUUGCUGUAAAGAUAUGGACCUUUACAAUGAACACGAUUACUGAACUUUAGAUUUGGGACGUCACAUACACGUUACAUAUCUGCCAUUGUCAUAGAGUCCUCACUGAUAACAAAAUGAAUGUGAUCAAACAUCUUCAAGUUAAUUUUUAAGCAUGUAUUUUUCAAAUUAGUAGCAAACAUAUUAUGAUUUUAAUAGCAAAUUUUAGGUGCUUGCAGUUUGUUAAAUCUAGAAAGACUUAUUUUAGUGAAAAUUGGAAUUAAACUGAACUAAUUACUAACCUGAUUGAAUUUAACUCUGUUGGAGCAACAAGAAGCAGUUUAAUUUGGAUAACAAAUCAAGGCCGAGUUGUAUGGCUUCUGCAUGCUUCUAUAUCCAUUAAAGCAUUAGCAUACUAACAUUAAAAUAUGGAAAACAGCCAUCUACUAAUACAUAAGUCAUAUGGGCAUAAGAUGGAAUUUUAAAAGCAUCUGCAUGUUGUUGCUUCGCUAAAUCAUUAGAGCAUCACGCAAAUAAAUUCCUGACAUAUUCAUUUUAACUCCGACUCCCUUUUGAAUAUGCUGACUAACUUUUUGACAUGUGUUUUUAUUUUAAUAAAGACUACUUGCUUUUUCGGGCAAACAUAUUUACUUCAAGUCUGUUUGACGUCUAACUCUCUUUUACUGUAGGAGCUUAAUAUCUUUGUAUUAAAACAGACUUUUCUACUAAGGCAAACUGAAAGAAUGACCGUUUUUACAGUUAUUCAAAUUAUCUUUCAGGGCUGAUUUUACUGAUGCUUUAUAAAAUAAAUAACAAUAAAGCUUCACCUUCUUCUUUUGUUUUAUUGGCUUUUUGGUCAGCAGUUCCUCUGUCCGUUUAGUGUGUCCUCAAACUGUCAGCACACACCAUCCUCGUCUCACAAUCAUACGUUUUUAGAUGUUGCUGUUUGUUGUGACUGAUUUGCUGCAGAGGGAGACCAGACUCAAACCAAAAAGGAUUAGUUUCAUCAAGCAGGACAAUAAAAUCAGUUCCAGACGGUUUAAAUAAUCCCAGGUAAUCGAGGCAUCUGACAGACAAGUUAAUUGACUUUUUGUGUUUUGUCCUGAUGAGAUUUAUCCCAUAUAUACUGCAGAGGAGCAGCAGCAGCCUUGCAUUUUAAUUAUACUCUGUGCUGGCAGGCUGGUUUUAUAAGAAACUGAAGGAGAGAAAAAAACAACCUGCAUUAUGUGGAAAGUGAGAUCAGCACCUCUGAGCACAAUGACAUCAACACACACAAAUCACACACUCUUGCAUAUCUUGUUUCUUACUGUCAUUGUCUAUUUUUUUCUUACUGUGGCGAUUUUAAUGGUAUUUACCAUCUAUGUCUACAUUAUUUUUCUGUGUUCAAUGUCAUGUAUGUAUUAUUUACAUCCAUGCUAUCCAGUCUUCUCUUCUCCCAUAUGCACACAGACAUAUAUUCCUGCAAAUACUGAAUAAAAUAUUUUUUUUUGUGUACACACAUUGUUCUGUGCGUUGUCUCUCUGCUUUACAUUUCUGUCAGCACGUAAAUUUGAAGAAUGUUCAGCGCAGCCAGCACAUAUACUCAUCCUGCUUUCUCUGUCUUUCUCCUCUUUACUCUUUCUCUUAAACACACACACACAUACACACACACACUCAAAGUCACAAAUUCAUCUGCCACUUUCUAGAUGGAGGCCGACACACCACUAAUUAAAUACAUCAGACAGAUGCAUCAUUCCUCUGCAUCUUGCCAAGUUUGACAGGAUUCGGAGCUAAGGUUUCUCCCCCAUUUGCAUCUUGAGUCAACCGUUGCCCUGAGCAACUUUACCAAUGUAGAGUGCUGUGAUGAGAAAAUUCUUUUUUUUUUUAAAAAAAAGGUUUGUGAUGUAUGCAUUAAGUUUUCUUUGUCGCUUUGGACUAUAGAAGGUGAAUUUCCCCCAACCUGUGCUCCAUGCCUGCCUAGGUUUGAAUGGAGCACUGAAAAUUUCAGACGCAGGACUGAAAGUUUGUUUGUUUUUGUUUUUCUUUUUGGAAAAAUAGAGUACCUUUAAUGUAAAGUUGUUCAUGGAGAAAAAAACAACAACAGAAUCAGGUUUUUUUAAAUCAUUUUCAUGUAACGAUUAAUAUAUGAAAUUGCAUAUUUCAGCUGCUGGUUUCACAUAUUUCCUAUUUUGAUGUCAUGUCUUUACAGUAUAGAGUAUCAGGUUGUUUUUAUAUCAAACAGUUAUUGAAAGACCUGUUGAGAAGACAACAGAACCGGAUGUAUGAAAUAAAGUGACAUUAAACCUCA